GUUGGACAGGAGAGGACAAGGUGGGGGAGAAUCUGUGCUCUGCAAAACAGACGAACGGAAGUAGGAAGCUGGGCUGGUGGCUGGGCACUUGGGUCCUUUGGAGAGCUGGCACUGGGUAUCCGCGCCUGGGGCGCCACAGCCUCUUUAUACUGAUAAGCAUCUUACAGCUCUCUCCCGGCACUGAUGCCUUUCUCUCCUGCAGGUCUCUGUCUGAGAAAGGGACUUGAGUAAAGUUAGAAACUGGCAACAGUAACUUCCUGUAUCUGUGAGGACAGGAGGAGAAAGGCUAGGGAAACUG
RNAcentral lists this long non-coding RNA (298 nucleotides) under Homo sapiens (human). RNAcentral's name for it is "HSALNT0258889". Lineage: Eukaryota; Metazoa; Chordata; Mammalia; Primates; Hominidae. The record is from RNAcentral.